RNAcentral lists this ribosomal RNA (478 nucleotides) under Stylocellus sp. Borneo 11. Its description in RNAcentral is "partial 16S ribosomal RNA". The stretch from base 351 to 478 matches the Rfam family "Bacterial large subunit ribosomal RNA", at positions 2473 to 2600 of the family's 2925-position model. The record is from RNAcentral. Lineage: Eukaryota; Metazoa; Arthropoda; Arachnida; Opiliones; Stylocellidae.
UUCUUAAAGUUAGGGUUUUAAGUAAUUUCUGCUCAAUGAUGAUAUUUAAUAGCUGCGUGAGCACUAAGGUAGCAUAAUAAAUUGUUUAUUAAUUAUAAACUGGAAUGAAGGAAUUUAUGAGGGAAAAUUUUCUUAAAUUUUUAUUAUUGAAAUUAAAUUUUUAGUAAAAAUGCUAAAAUAUUAGUUGGGGACGAGAAGACCCUAUGAAGCUUUAUAUAAAUUGUAAUUUUUUUAUAAUAUUUUAUAUUUCAUUGGGGCAAUGUUUUAAGAUUAAAAGUUUAAAAUUAUUUUGUUUUACAAUAUAUUUAAUGGAGCCAAAAAUUUUGAUUUAAUGAAAAAGUUACUUUAGGGAUAACAGCAUAAUUUAAAUUGGAAAGUUCAAAUUGAUAAUUUAGUUUAUGACCUCGAUGUUGAAUUAAUAUUAUUUUCUGACGAAGGAGUUAGGAUAAUUAGUCUGUUCGACUAUUAAAAUAUUACG